Molecule: ribosomal RNA, 425 nt
Filed under: uncultured bacterium
Lineage: Bacteria
Description: partial 16S ribosomal RNA
Rfam family: Bacterial small subunit ribosomal RNA
Source: RNAcentral
GUGAGGAAUUUUGCGCAAUGGGGGCAACCCUGACGCAGCGACGCCGCGUGGAGGACGAAGUCUUUCGGGAUGUAAACUCCUGUCAGUGGGGACGAUAAUGACGGUACCCACAGAGGAAGCACCGGCUAACUCCGUACCAGCAGCCGCGGUAAGACGUAAGGUGCAAGCGUUGUUCGGAAUUACUGGGCGUAAAGCGUAUGUAGGCGGCAAGUUAAGUUCAAUGUUAAAGCCCACGGCUCAACCGAGGAGAUGCAUUGAAUACUGGCUAGCUAGAGGGUGUUAGAGGAAGACGGAAUUCCCAGUGUAGCGGUGAAAUGCGUAGAUAUUGGGAGGAACAUGGGUAGCGAAAGCGGUCUUCUGGGACAUACCUGACGCUGAGGUACGAAAGCGUGGGGAGCAAACGGGAUUAGAAACCCCGGUAGUCC